Molecule: ribosomal RNA, 418 nt
Filed under: uncultured bacterium
Lineage: Bacteria
Description: bacterial SSU rRNA
Rfam family: Bacterial small subunit ribosomal RNA
Source: RNAcentral
UGGGGAAUCUUGCGCAAUGGCCGAAAGGCUGACGCAGCGACGCCGCGUGGAGGAUGACGCCCUUCGGGGUGUAAACUCCUGUUGCCCGGGACGAAUACCCGUUUCGACGGGGGUGACGGUACCGGGUGAGGAAGCAUCGGCUAACUCUGUGCCAGCAGCCGCGGUAAUACAGAGGGUGCGAGCGUUGUCCGGAAUCACUGGGCGUAAAGGGCGCGUAGGCGGCUGGGUAAGCGUGUGGUGAAAGCCCGGGGCUCAACCCCGGGUCGGCCAUGCGAACUGUCCAGCUGGAGCACGGUAGAGGCACAUGGAAUUCCGGGUGUAGCGGUGGAAUGCGUAGAGAUCCGGAAGAACACCGGUGGCGAAAGCGGUGUGCUGGGCCGUGGCUGACGCUGAGGCGCGACAGCGUGGGGAGCAAACA